GUCCACGCCCUAAACGAUGCGAACUGGACGUUGGGAGCAAUUAGGCUCUCAGUGUCGAAGCUAACGCGUUAAGUUCGCCGCCUGGGGGAGUACGGUCGCAAGACUGAAACUCAAAGGAAUUGACGGGGGCCCGCACAAGCGGUGGAGUAUGUGGUUUAAUUCGAUGCAACGCGAAGAACCUUACCUGGCCUUGACAUCCACGGAAUCCUUGAGAGAUCAGGGAGUGCCUUCGGGAACCGUGAGACAGGUGCUGCAUGGCUGUCGU
Molecule: ribosomal RNA, 265 nt
Filed under: uncultured bacterium
Lineage: Bacteria
Description: partial 16S ribosomal RNA
Rfam family: Bacterial small subunit ribosomal RNA
Source: RNAcentral